This 274-nucleotide ribosomal RNA is filed under the name uncultured bacterium. Its description in RNAcentral is "partial 16S ribosomal RNA". It matches the Rfam family "Archaeal small subunit ribosomal RNA", at positions 473 to 747 of the family's 1478-position model. The record is from RNAcentral.
AAACCAGCACCUCAAGUGGUCAGGAGGAUUAUUGGGCCUAAAGCAUCCGUAGCCUGUUCUAUAAGUUUCCGGUUAUAUCCACUAGCUCAACUAGUGGGCUGCCGAAAAUACUGUAGAACUAGGGAGUGGGAGAGGUAGACGGUAUUCGGUAGGAAGGGGUAACAUCCUUUGAUCUAUUGAGGACCACCUGUGGCGAAGGCGGUCUACCAGAACACGUUCGACGGUGAGGGAUGAAAGCUGGGGGAGCAAACCGGAUUAGAAACCCCUGUAGUCC